UACGGAGGGUGUGAGCGUUAAUCGGAAUAACUGGUCGUAAAGCGCGCGUAGGUGGUUGAGUCAGUCAGACGUGAAGGCCCUGGGCUUAACCUAGGAACUGCACCUGAUACUGCUUGACUAGAGUACGGUAGAGGGCAGUGGAAUUUCCUGUGUAGCGGUGAAAUGCGUAGAUAUAGGAAGGAACACCAGUGGCGAAGGCGACUGCCUGGACUGAUACUGUCACUGAGGUGCGAAAGCGUGGGUAGCAAACAGG
Molecule: unclassified non-coding RNA, 253 nt
Filed under: uncultured Oceanospirillales bacterium
Lineage: Bacteria; Pseudomonadati; Pseudomonadota; Gammaproteobacteria; Oceanospirillales
Description: contains 16S-23S intergenic spacer region
Rfam family: Bacterial small subunit ribosomal RNA
Source: RNAcentral